Smittium culicis is the source of this 82-nucleotide transfer RNA. It matches the Rfam family "tRNA". Rfam says of the family: Transfer RNA (tRNA) molecules are approximately 80 nucleotides in length. Their secondary structure includes four short double-helical elements and three loops (D, anti-codon, and T loops). Lineage: Eukaryota; Fungi; Kickxellomycota; Harpellomycetes; Harpellales; Legeriomycetaceae. The record is from Rfam.
GGAAAAAUCGCCUAAAGGUAUGGCAAUAGUUUGCUAAACUGUGGAGAAAAACUCCUUGGGGGUUCAAGUCCCCCUUUUUCCG